Molecule: RNA transcript, 1505 nt
Organism: Selaginella moellendorffii
Lineage: Eukaryota; Viridiplantae; Streptophyta; Lycopodiopsida; Selaginellales; Selaginellaceae
Exons: 4
Source: RefSeq, a predicted model, not a curated record
CGCCCGUGGCACAAGAGCAGCAUCGAUUCCUGCCGCCAAUCCGGCUCCCGGGCUGCCAUCUCUGUUGGAGCUCCGGAGACGCCGUCGCGCCGCGCCACCGCGCGAGGAAAGGUAAGACGGUGGAAGCCGAAUCGGAGCCAUGGAAAUCGAGGAGCAAGCCGCCACGGCCAGAGCCAGUGCUGGAGCCGGCAGUGCCGACAACAAAGAAGAGCUCUUCUCCAGGGCGAGGCCUCCACAGGAGGCACAGAUUGACGGCGACGAGGAUGUCAUGCGCGAUGAUCUUGCAGAGGUGCCCAAGCCCGUGGAUGACACAAGUCAGCGCAGCCAGGGGGUCCCCAGCCAGGCAGCCUCGCCGCCGCCUCCAAACCGCUUCUCCCGACGUGGAUUGGCCUCGCGCUUCUCCUCUGUCGCUGUUCUCCGCCAGAAGAUGGAUCACGUCGCUUGGAAGGGGAGCGGGAGGCUUUAAAGGUCCAAGCUAUACGAGCUUGUACCAAGGCAGCGCAGAAAAUCCUGGCAGGACCUCUCUCGCAGAUCUUGCUCCCGGAUUGCAGCAAAUUUCGGAGCAGGGCUGCCCGAGCUGACGUCCCUUUCUCUCGCGAGCGUGAACCGACGAAUUACCGAGCGAGCUCAUGGUGGCCAUGGGGCCGAAACUAGAGGAGCUCAGUAUCUCACAUUGCAGCGUUACGGUGGCGGCUGUUGCAGCUUGCGGUUCGACUCUGAAAAGCUUUGCACUUCGAAGGCUUGGAGCUUACAGACGGCACCUUUCAGUGACGAGGUACUGGCGGACUUCGUCACGGCCGCUGGAAGCUGUUCAUCGCAAGCGUGAAAAAGGCACGUCUCACUGCGUUCUUCGUCAGGCCCUUUUGCCGCAGAGCGACCGAGGACGGGUUUGGAUUCCUUGUCCCAAUCUCGUGGAGCUCAGACUCUGCUCGUCUUCGAAAAAAAAACGCGAUUCUUUAAACAAUUUUAAAGAAAAUUGUCCGCCAUAGCCAGGGUUAGGGUGAGCAAAUUUUCCCUCCAUGUAAAAUCUAGGGUUCGUCGUCUCCGCAGCUUCCAUGGAUGUUGUGAUUGUGGCGGUCGCGGGUGCUUGUGUUGUCAUUGCGGCAACUUGCAUUGCAACCAUGCUCAUCAUCAACCUCCUCACCAAGAGCGUCAUCACCAUGGCUUCUUCAACCAGGGGAGCAGCGAAGGAGGAUCUACAGGCUCUCCGUGGAGCUCUCAAGGAGGAUCUGCAGGCUCUCCGUGGAGUUCUCAAGGAGGACCUUCCCAGCCUCAGGCAGGUGAUACAGGAUUUUGGUGCCUUGAGGGAGGAACUGAGGAUGCUGCGAGAUGCUCUGCGAGCUGAGGCAGCCCAGGGCCAAGCUAAUCCGUGGUGUGCAAACCGCACAGAAGUGGCGCUGCUGCUGCUGACCAUGUUCAGUGAUCGGUAGUUGAUUCAUAGGAAGUUCGACAAAACUGUUUUGUUUUUCGACAGGGAAAAAUCUUCUGAUUCGGAUCUUCGUUUC